Molecule: unclassified non-coding RNA, 430 nt
Filed under: soil metagenome
Description: partial contains 5.8S ribosomal RNA, internal transcribed spacer 2, and large subunit ribosomal RNA
Rfam family: 5.8S ribosomal RNA (bases 1-120)
Source: RNAcentral
GAUGAAGAACGUAGCGAAAUGCGAUACGUAAUGUGAAUUGCAGAAUUCAGUGAAUCAUCGAAUCUUUGAACGCAUAUUGCACUCUCUGGUAUUCCGGAGAGCAUGCUUGUUUGAGUAUCAGUAAACACCUCAACUCCCUUUUCUUUUUUGAAAUUGGAGCUGGACUUGAGUGAUCCCAACGCUUUCUUCCAAGAAAGUGGCGGGUUGCUUGAAAUUCAGGUGCAGCUGAACUUUUCUCUGAGCUAUAAGCAUAUCUAUUUAGUCUGCCUAAAAAACAGAUUAUUACCUUUGCUGCAGCUAACAUAAAGGAGACUAGUUCUUGUGCUGACUGAUGCAGGAUUCACAGAGACAGCUUCGGCUGACUUUGUAAACUCGAUCUCAAAUCAAGUAAGACUACCCGCUGAACUUAAGCAUAUCAAUAAGCGGAGGA